AGUGAACGCUGGCGGUAGGCCUAACACAUGCAAGUCGAACGGCAGCACAGUAAGAGCUUGCUCUUACGGGUGGCGAGUGGCGGACGGGUGAGGAAUACAUCGGAAUCUACUUUUUCGUGGGGGAUAACGUAGGGAAACUUACGCUAAUACCGCAUACGACCUACGGGUGGAAGCAGGGGAUCUUCGGACCUUGCACGAUUGAAUGAGCCGAUGUCGGAUUAGCUAGUUGGCGGGGUAAAGGCCCACCAAGGCGACGAUCCGUAGCUGGUCUGAGAGGAUGAUCAGCCACACUGGAACUGAGACACGGUCCAGACUCCUACGGGAGGCAGCAGUGGGGAAUAUUGGACAAUGGGCGCAAGCCUGAUCCAGCCAUACCGCGUGGGUGAAGAAGGCCUUCGGGUUGUAAAGCCCUUUUGUUGGGAAAGAAAAGCAGCAGGUUAAUACCUCGCUGUUCUGACGGUACCCAAAGAAUAAGCACCGGCUAACUUCGUG
Molecule: ribosomal RNA, 492 nt
Filed under: uncultured bacterium
Lineage: Bacteria
Description: partial 16S ribosomal RNA
Rfam family: Bacterial small subunit ribosomal RNA
Source: RNAcentral